GGUGGAAAUGGCCGGGCUUCGCCGGGAUCUGGCUCGUGUCCAGAUAAGGGCGUGGCGCCUUGUUCGCACCGAGGUCCAGCCC
This 82-nucleotide transfer RNA is filed under the name compost metagenome. RNAcentral describes it as "tRNA-Thr". The record is from RNAcentral.